Molecule: long non-coding RNA, 686 nt
Filed under: Homo sapiens (human)
Lineage: Eukaryota; Metazoa; Chordata; Mammalia; Primates; Hominidae
Description: non-protein coding SNHG21:28
Source: RNAcentral
ACUAGGAAGGUGGGACGUUGGAGGGGUGGCCGCAUGGAGUGAGUACUGUCUCUGGCCACCGAGCAGAGCCAGUGACAGCAGCGUCCUGGUAGGCAGGCAGGCGUAUCAGGUUUCAGAGGAUGCGGCUGGGAACGGGAGUAGAGGUGAGGGGUCGUUGCAUCUGUCGCGGUGUGUAUCUUUUGGGGGUUCAGCGCCACCAGCGACUUGGGCCUCAUUCAUCGCGCUUACAUUUCUCCACCUCAUUUGAAGAACGAGCUUCGUAGCCCACGGAGCUGAGGUAUAUGAGCUCCCUGAAAGCACAAAGCAGUUAUUUCCAUCUUCAGAUCAUUCAGAGAUUAUGAAGGCACAAACCCUGCCUUCAAUUUGCUUAUAGUCAAGUGGAGCAGACACAAGUCAAUGAUUGCAGUAUAGCCACUGAAGUAAUCUAAAAGAGGUGGGGAGGCCACAGCUUAUGUGAAUGACUUUCUCAGGAGUUAUAAAGUGAUACAGACUUAUCAGCAGGUUGCAGGUGAACAUGGCCUUGAGAUGUUUUCUUCUAAAUAAAUGAGAAAGAUGUUUCAACAAAGGCUCUUUAUGCUGAAUAAUUGUGAUGCUUGAAGUUGCUAAUCUGCUUUAAGUGGAUUUUAAAUGUCAGGCAAUUCUAGACAGUUUUUUCUUGGUCAAAUAAAAAUUUAAUUAAAACUUUA